UACGUAGGGUGCGAGCGUUAAUCGGAAUUACUGGGCGGAAAGCGUGCGCAGGCGGUUUUGUAAGCCAGAUGUGAAAUCCCCGGGCUUAACCUGGGAAUGGCAUUUGGGACUGCAAGGCUGGAGUGUGGCAGAGGAGACUGGAAUUCCCGGUGUAGCAGUGAAAUGCGUAGAGAUGCGGAGGGACACCGAUGGCGAAGGCAGCCCCCUGGGCUAGCACUGACGCUCAGGCACGAAAGCGUGGGGAGCAAACAGG
Molecule: ribosomal RNA, 253 nt
Filed under: uncultured bacterium
Lineage: Bacteria
Description: partial 16S ribosomal RNA
Rfam family: Bacterial small subunit ribosomal RNA
Source: RNAcentral